CCAUUUGUUUCUUCCCUUCCUUCCUUGUCCUGUUUUUCUCUGCUGGGGAGUUGAAGAAAAAGAAACAGAGGGGAGAGAGAGAGAGAGAGAGAGCAAGGCGAAGAGCUCGGAAGAGCUCGCGGUAGAGGAAGAAGAUGAGGCAGAUGAGGAAAGGGACCCAAUUAGGGCAGAGGACAGAGAGAGCUCGGGGGGAAAAGGAAGCUGGGAAACAGAGCAAGAGGGAGUGACGAGUGGGACAGAGCAAGCAAAGGUACGGUGGAUGGAAGUGGAGAGCAUCGAAUAGGGAAAAGUUUAGCUUACAUUGAACUAGUUUUUGGACUAUCUUAGGCUAUACUCAUGAUUGAUAAGAGUUGAGGACAUCGAUUGUGCGCCAACGAUAUCAAGUUUGGAGAAAUAUUUUUGGGUAUUCGCCAUGGGACCGCUGGAAUCGGCGGAAUAGAAAGUGGGGCACAAAUGGCCGCUGGACCUGGCAGAAUAGCAAGUGGGGCACAAAUGACCGUUGAACCCGACGGAAUAGAAAGUGGGGCACAAAUAGUCGCUGGACCCGGCGGAAUAGAAAGUGGAGCAUAAAUGGCCGUUAGACCUGGCGGAAUAGCAAGUGGGGCACAUAGAAAGUGGGGCCCAAAUAGCCGCUAGACCUGGCGAAAUAGAAAAUGGAGCCUGAAUGGCCGCUGGACCCGGUGGAAUAGAAAAAAAGGGUUGGGGUGAAAUGUCGGGGUCACGGUGCCAUCUUAAAUUAUCGUAAGGGAAUGUGAUCAUAUGGCUAUAUUGAUUGGUUUUGUUGUAUAUUGUUUGUUCUGUUUGAUUUAUGGAGAUGUGAUGAUUGUUGAGAUUGUCUGAAGUAGUUAUGUGAAAAUCGUGUUCUUUGCUGAUACUUGAUUUAGUCAGGGUGUGACUGUUAGGCAAUGCUAAGUUAAUGGUUAAUUCUAAUACUAUUAUAUAGUUAUAAAGAUAAUUGAUUGGUUUAUAAUGAAUUUUGUAAUUCUUUGUAUGUAUUGUACAACAUGCUGUGUUGGUGAAUUAAAUGACAAAUUUGGAUAUGCUAAUAGUAUCUAUAUAUAAACUCUUGGUCGUUUAAAAUAUAUUUAUUACUUAAUAUUAAAUUCAUUUCACUCUGAAAUUUUGUGCUCAUUGAGAUGCAGCUUACACCCUACAUAUAGUUUUUCCAUAUAAGCUUCUAGUUGCGCGGGAGAACCAUUUUUGAUAUCGGGGAUCAGGUCAGAGAACUAGGUAGGGAGUUUAGUUAUUUGGUAGGUAUUCUUUUUGUAUAGAAUGUAUUUGAAAAUGUUAUGACUUGAAACUUUUGCCUAGUUGAUUUAUUGAUGUAGAUUUGCUGAAAUUAUAUUUAUAUAAAUAUAUAUGUGAGAGUUUGUUAGUUAGUUAUAUAAUUUUGGGAGUUAUGAAAAGCAUGUUGUAUAUGAAUAGUUAUGGGAUAAGGGAUAUUGAGAAAAUAUUGGAAAAAUUCUG
Molecule: non-coding RNA, 1467 nt
Organism: Punica granatum (pomegranate)
Lineage: Eukaryota; Viridiplantae; Streptophyta; Magnoliopsida; Myrtales; Lythraceae
Source: RefSeq, a predicted model, not a curated record